AUUGAACGCUGGCGGCAGGCCUAACACAUGCAAGUCGAGCGGUAGAGAGGUGCUUGCACCUCUUGAGAGCGGCGGACGGGUGAGUAAAGCCUAGGAAUUUGCCUGGUAGUGGGGGAUAACGCUCGGAAACGGACGCUAAUACCGCAUACGUCCUACGGGAGAAAGCAGGGGACCUUCGGGCCUUGCGCUAUCAGAUGAGC
Molecule: ribosomal RNA, 200 nt
Filed under: uncultured bacterium
Lineage: Bacteria
Description: partial 16S ribosomal RNA
Rfam family: Bacterial small subunit ribosomal RNA
Source: RNAcentral